Molecule: ribosomal RNA, 317 nt
Filed under: Diderma meyerae
Lineage: Eukaryota; Evosea; Eumycetozoa; Physariida; Didymiaceae
Description: bacterial SSU rRNA
Source: RNAcentral
UCUGAAUCUGCGUACGGCUCCGCAAACCAGUUGUAAACUAUAGCAAGUUCGUUCCGUUGUCGGCCGCAAGGCUAGCAAUGGGGCAAUAAGGAUAUCCGUGGUAAUUCUGAGGCUAAUACAAGAACGUAACCCCUGGUCGACCGGGCAACUGGAAGGCUGGGGGGUGUGCAACUAUGCGCAUAAAAGACUGGGAAUGGGUGCACGCUCUGACCACCGUACCAAACAGUCGCGUCUCGAGGCUUCGGCCAAAGGGCGAGUCUGGGUGGCUCUUGCUGUGUGCUUCUGACCUAUCAACUAGAGGCAGCGUAACGGACAUG